UACGAAGGGGGCUAGCGUUGCUCGGAAUCACUGGGCGUAAAGCGCACGUAGGCGGAUUGUUAAGUCAGGGGUGAAAUCCUGGAGCUCAACUCCAGAACUGCCUUUGAUACUGGCGAUCUUGAGUUCGGGAGAGGUGAGUGGAACUGCGAGUGUAGAGGUGAAAUUCGUAGAUAUUCGCAAGAACACCAGUGGCGAAGGCGGCUCACUGGCCCGAUACUGACGCUGAGGCACGAAAGCUAGGGGAGCAAACGGG
This 253-nucleotide ribosomal RNA is filed under the name uncultured bacterium. RNAcentral's name for it is "partial 16S ribosomal RNA". It matches the Rfam family "Bacterial small subunit ribosomal RNA", at positions 524 to 776 of the family's 1533-position model. The record is from RNAcentral.